This 240-nucleotide long non-coding RNA is filed under the name Brassica napus (rape). Its description in RNAcentral is "long non-coding RNA (BNAP_LNC000581)". Lineage: Eukaryota; Viridiplantae; Streptophyta; Magnoliopsida; Brassicales; Brassicaceae. The record is from RNAcentral.
GAGGGGAGAGAUGACGAUUCGAUGACAGAGAAGAAUGUGAAAGUGAAGAAGUGUAAAGACACUAGGAAUGAUUAUGAGAGGAGGGAGGAAAGUGUAGUAUAAGAUGGUGCUUCUUGGGUUCUGAUGGGGGUGGUGCGCUAGACCACAAACACCGACGUCAUCUUCUUUGCAGAUAUAUCAACAUUGAGCGCCUCACAUUUUCCCGUCACAACUGUGCUAACCCAACUCCACAACAUCAAA